AGGAUUGCCCAAGCCAUAUAAGGAGACCAAGGACCUCAAAUCCCUCCGAUGUGGGACAACUCAACACCCCCCAUCACGCCCAGAUCUCUGGAGCGUGGAUAACAUAAAUGGGGGCCCAACAUCGGCAACAAUAAUUGGGAUGGGUCUGGCUCUGAUACCAUGAUAAGAAUGAACCUUGGGUCUAACUCAACCCAUGAUAAGAAUGGACCUUGGGUCUAACUCAACCUCAAAAGCUAACUUAUAAGGUGAGGAUUGCUCAAGCCAUAUAAGGAGACCAAUGACCUCAAAUCCCUCCGAUGUUUGGGGUUGAGUUAGACCCAAGAUCCAUUCUUAUCAAGAAUAAACAUGGAACAGGAACAAGGAUUAUGUACUUUGUAAGUUUUGGUAUCGGAAUAAUAUGUUUAUUCAUUGAAAGACUAUACAAUUUAUAGGGGAAAACACAUCAAUAAAUAUUGGAAAAUAUUUUCUUGAUUCUAGACAGUCUAGAAUUAACAAAUAAUUGUAGUCUAAAUCUAAUCCCUACGAUUUUAAAACUUUCCUAACUUAUCUGAUCUGAUUUGAUCUCAUAGGACCAAUAAUCAGAUAAUACAAUUCAAUAUAUCUGAUUUGAUUUUAUCACAUAUGAUCAUAGUCAGAUAAUACAAAUCAAUAGUUUCCCUCAAGUUGGCAUGUAGAUACCUGACACGCCUAAGUUGCUUACAAGACCUUCAAUUCUUGGAUUAAAAACCCCUUAGUAAAAAUAUAUGCUGAUCUCUUGGCACAAAAUGGCAAACACAUAUUGUUAUUAUAAACAGAGUAGAUAUCACAUUCAAAGAAAUUGCUCUAAGCCUACUUUGAUUCUCUUGGAAACAAAGUGACAUUAAUACGAACUAAUUGUCUUUCCCUUUUGUAUGCUUUAAUAAAAAAACCAAAAAUUAUUUUUCUAUCAGAAUUGAAGAAGACAUUGUUGGAUUACCUUUUGAAGAAAAGUAGGGUUCCUAAAAAAAAUAAUCACACUACCUUCAAAAUAACCGUGUAGUUGAACCGUGUUGUAGCUUCUGUGGCGCUAACCUCGCUAUGUAGACCAAAGAGGAGUUGGCUUACAAAUAAGUCUUUUCAUUUCAGUUAGUAGCACGUGUGAUGGAAAUUUCCAUUCAGUCAAUACAUGAUUUUGAAACAAAAAGAAAGACAACAUGUUGGGCUUCGUGAAUACUAGACAUAAACUGUAGGGAAUUGCAAGGAGCUUCACUAGGUUGUUGAGAGUGGGUAACCAUAAUGCAGGUUGGCUUUAUACUUGGAAUUGCAACCUAAGAGGAAUUGGCUCGCAGUAGGUAUUGUCAGUGGCAUCUUUCAGCAAUUAGCUUGUACAAUGGAAGGUAUAUGUAUUUAAAUUAUUUUGCAGAGCAAACGAAAGAUAAGCUGUCAAGCAUUCUGAAUACUUGAUUACCUAGUAAAGCACAAAGUAAAACUAGCUAUUAUGUCUUUGCUGACUGUUAAUCCGUGGAGUGAUGUGAGUAAACUACGCAGGUUGGGAACUUGUAAUUAAGAAGGUAAACUUUAGCAUCUAUUCUAAUUGUUUUUCCAAUUAGAAAAUUAAAUUUGUUAUGCAGUUUUUCAUAGAUCUGAUGCUUCAUUAUUCCUUUAAAGC
RNAcentral lists this long non-coding RNA (1627 nucleotides) under Nicotiana benthamiana. Its description in RNAcentral is "long non-coding RNA (NBEN_LNC032549)". The record is from RNAcentral. Lineage: Eukaryota; Viridiplantae; Streptophyta; Magnoliopsida; Solanales; Solanaceae.